Eptesicus fuscus (big brown bat) is the source of this 372-nucleotide long non-coding RNA. RefSeq lists it as uncharacterized. The record is from RefSeq and is a predicted model, not a curated record. The transcript is spliced from 3 exons. NCBI's taxonomy places the organism in Eukaryota, Metazoa, Chordata, Mammalia, Chiroptera, Vespertilionidae.
GUCAAGUUCUGUGCUCAAGUUCACAGAUCUCCUAAGAUAAGGAACUCUUUUCCUUCCAACUCCAAAGAGCCCUUUCCUUACACCAUGUGGUUUGCAUAUCCCAUGUGAUCCUAUGAGCAGCUCUUCUGGAUGGUCUAAUAAGCAAAUAAACAUGAGACAGAGUAAGAGAAGGAAAGGACCGAUGUGAGUGCGUAUGUACACAUGGGGCUCCAUAGGAAUGGAGGACAGAGAGGCAAAUGGAGCGGUUGAGGCCUAUCUGCCACCUGGAGGUGGAAAGCAGCAAAUUCAAUAGUGUGGACGUACUAUAGCGAUAGUAGUUCUUAGAAACACAAUUCAAUUGUUAACCGUCCCCUGAAGCUCUGAGCAAGAACU